Molecule: long non-coding RNA, 1500 nt
Organism: Anolis carolinensis (green anole)
Lineage: Eukaryota; Metazoa; Chordata; Lepidosauria; Squamata; Anolidae
Exons: 2
Source: RefSeq, a predicted model, not a curated record
GCAAGCUAGGCUGAGAGCGCGCGCACGAAGAAGGCGGCGGUUGAAGAAAAAGGGGCGGGGCGUCGAGCCGAGGGCGCGCGACGCCUCCUUGCCUUGCCUUCCUUUCCUCCGUUGAAGGGCGGGAUUAGCACAUAAUGGCGGCGCCGAGCAGCGUGACCCGCCUACGUUGGGGAGUUAACUCACUUUCACACCGCUUGAGCUGCCUUGGUUCAAUGCUUAUGAAAGCCUGGGAACCGUAGUUCGGGUCCUUGGGUAGUUGAUGCCAGAUAGAAAACACAGCAGGGAUCAACAUGCACUAUAUAAGAAUAACCUAAAGGGCAAAUAAUUAUUCUAAUGAACCCAGAUUGCUUAAACGCUCAAGAUGCACAAGACAAGAUGGAAAAACCCAAUGGAUCUAGCUAAGGAGGAAUAAAAAUGUUCAUGCUUUUGAAUGUGCUAUGAAGUUGAAAUUCACUGUGACAUACAAUUCUAGCUGAAAGUGAGGUGGUUUUGUUUUAAGUUCUUGUGAUUGCAUUUCUUUGCCAGUUUUACUGUCUUAUUGGGCUUUACAAGUUGAGACUAGAUAUGAAUCACUUUCUUUUCCCAGUUAAUCCCACAUGGAACAGGCCCAGCUCCAUGCCCUACCACUGACAAAAGUAUGCUUGGUGUUCGUGUUGAAGAGGGCUUUCUUUGUUAUUCCCAGUUCAACACUUGCCCAGAUGAGCAACUGAUAAUAUUCCACUACAGUGGAGUCUCACUUAUUCAACAUUAACUUAUCCAAACAUUCUGGAUUAUCCAACACUGUCUGCCUUUUAGUAGUCAGUGUUUUUGUAGUCAAUAUUUUCAAUACAUUACGAUGUUUUGGUGCUACAUUUGUAAAUACAGUAAUUACUACAUAACGUUAAUGUGUAUUGAACUGCUUUUUUUGUCGAUUUGUUGUUAAACAUGAUUUUUGGUGCUUAAUUUGUAAAAUCAUAACGUAAUUUGGUGUUUAAUAGGCUUUUCCUUAAUUCCUCCUUAUUAUCCAACAUUUUUGCUUAUCCAACAUUCUGCCGGCCCUUUUAUGUUGGAUAAAUGAGACUCUAUUGUACUUUUGAUGACAUUAUGGGUUUAUUAUACAGAAAAUAUAUCUAGUGAUGCUAUUGGUAGUAGUUUUUUAAUAUUCUGGUGGAGGAAAUAAACUCUCUGUGAACCCAUUUUCAUGUAACCAGACUACCACCAACUCUGCACAAGGUGGACAUAUCAGCAAGUUGUGUAAACUUUAGUGCCUGAAGUUGUAAGGUUGUUUAAGGUAACGAACACAAUGGGAGCAUCCCAAAAUCAGCUUAAUGAGGAAACAUGGAUGAAGUUUCUCACCUUUACAUUUCUCAGGCCCAAUAAAAUGCAUUGAUCUACUCAUUCUUCAACUUGUUUCCUGAAUUUGAAACAUUUCUUGCUUUAUUUUCAUAUUCAAGGAAAAGUUGUUUACCAGUUUUAAGAUGUGCGUUUGCUUAAAAACAAGCAUUAAAGUUACUAAAAAUA